GGGGGGCCUAACAUGACAGUCGAGCGAGCUUGCCUAGAUGAUUUUAGUGCUUGCACUAAAUGAAACUAGAUACAAGCGCGCGGCGGACGGGUGAGUAACACGUGGGUAACCUGCCCAAGAGACUGGGAUAACACCUGGAAACAGAUGCUAGUACCGGAUAACAACACUAGACGCAUGUCUAGAGUUUGAAAGAUGGUUCUGCUAUCACUCUUGGAUGGACCUGCGGUGCAUUAGCUAGUUGGUAAGGUAACGGCUUACCAAGGCAAUGAUGCAUAGCCGAGUUGAGAGACUGAUCGGCCACAUUGGGACUGAGACACGGCCCAAACUCCUACGGGAGGCAGCAGUAGGGAAUCUUCCACAAUGGACGAAAGUCUGAUGGAGCAACGCCGCGUGAGUGAAGAAGGGUUUCGGCUCGUAAAGCUCUGUUGGUAGUGAAGAAAGAUAGAGGUAGUAACUGGCCUUUAUUUGACGGUAAUUACUUAGAAAGUCACGGCUAACUACGUGCCAGCAGCCGCGGUAAUACGUAGGUGGCAAGCGUUGUCCGGAUUUAUUGGGCGUAAAGCGAGUGCAGGCGGUUCAAUAAGUCUGAUGUGAAAGCCUUCGGCUCAACCGGAGAAUUGCAUCAGAAACUGUUGAACUUGAGUGCAGAAGAGGAGAGUGGAACUCCAUGUGUAGCGGUGGAAUGCGUAGAUAUAUGGAAGAACACCAGUGGCGAAGGCGGCUCUCUGGUCUGCAACUGACGCUGAGGCUCGAAAGCAUGGGUAGCGAACAGGAUUAGAUACCCUGGUAGUCCAUGCCGUAAACGAUGAGUGCUAAGUGUUGGGAGGUUUCCGCCUCUCAGUGCUGCAGC
RNAcentral lists this ribosomal RNA (850 nucleotides) under uncultured bacterium. Its description in RNAcentral is "bacterial SSU rRNA". It matches the Rfam family "Bacterial small subunit ribosomal RNA", at positions 41 to 852 of the family's 1533-position model. The record is from RNAcentral.